RNAcentral lists this ribosomal RNA (251 nucleotides) under uncultured bacterium. RNAcentral describes it as "partial 16S ribosomal RNA". It matches the Rfam family "Bacterial small subunit ribosomal RNA", at positions 524 to 771 of the family's 1533-position model. The record is from RNAcentral.
UACGAAGGGGGCUAGCGUUGCUCGGAAUCACUGGGCGUAAAGGGUGCGUAGGCGGGUCUUUUAAGUCAGGGGUGAAAUCCUGGAGCUCAACUCCAGAACUGCCUUUGAUACUGAGGAUCUUGAGUAUGGGAGAGGUGAGUGGAACUGCGAGUGUAGAGGUGAAAUUCGUAGAUUAUCGCAAGAACACCAGUGGCGAAGGCGGCUCACUGGCCCAUUACUGACGCUGAGGCACGAAAAGCGUGGGGGAGCAA